UACGUAGGGUGCGAGCGUUAAUCGGAAUUACUGGGCGUAAAGCGUGCGCAGGCGGUUGGGCAAGUCUGAUGUGAAAGCCCCCGGCUCAACCGGGGAACGGGCGCCGAUACGACCGCCCUGGAGGAACGUAGGGGGACCUGGAACUUCCGGUGGAGCGGUGAAAUGCGUUGAGAUCGGAAGGAACGCCCGUGGCGAAAGCGAGGUCCUGGACGUUUUCUGACGCUGAGACGCGAAAGCCAGGGGAGCGAACGGG
RNAcentral lists this ribosomal RNA (253 nucleotides) under uncultured bacterium. RNAcentral describes it as "partial 16S ribosomal RNA". It matches the Rfam family "Bacterial small subunit ribosomal RNA", at positions 524 to 776 of the family's 1533-position model. The record is from RNAcentral.